Molecule: ribosomal RNA, 185 nt
Filed under: uncultured bacterium
Lineage: Bacteria
Description: partial 16S ribosomal RNA
Rfam family: Bacterial small subunit ribosomal RNA
Source: RNAcentral
CCUGCACGAAGUCGGAAUUGCUAGUAAUCGUAGGUCAGCAUACUGCCGUGAAUACGUUCCCGGGCCUUGUACACACCGCCCGUCACACCAUGAGAGUUAGGAAUACCCGAAGCCUGUGAGCUAACUUUUAGAGGCAGCAGUCGAAGGUAGAACUAAUGAUUGGGGUGAAGUCGUAACAAGGUAAC